RNAcentral lists this ribosomal RNA (253 nucleotides) under uncultured bacterium. Its description in RNAcentral is "partial 16S ribosomal RNA". It matches the Rfam family "Bacterial small subunit ribosomal RNA", at positions 524 to 776 of the family's 1533-position model. The record is from RNAcentral.
UACGGAGGAUCCAAGCGUUAUCCGGAAUCAUUGGGUUUAAAGGGUCCGUAGGCGGUUUAUUAAGUCAGUGGUGAAAGCCCAUCGCUCAACGAUGGAACGGCCAUUGAUACUGAUAGACUUGAAUUACUGGGAAGUAACUAGAAUAUGUAGUGUAGCGGUGAAAUGCUUAGAUAUUACAUGGAAUACCAAUUGCGAAGGCAGGUUACUACCAGUGGAUUGACGCUGAUGGACGAAAGCGUGGGGAGCGAACAGG